This 257-nucleotide long non-coding RNA is filed under the name Ictidomys tridecemlineatus (thirteen-lined ground squirrel). Its description in RNAcentral is "lncRNA (ENSSTOG00000034568.1)". The record is from RNAcentral. Lineage: Eukaryota; Metazoa; Chordata; Mammalia; Rodentia; Sciuridae.
UAUGGAAAUAUCACUUGUCUCCUUUGAUUUUUCAGCUCCAAGUAAAUGAACCACUGAAGUAGGAGCCAAAAAAAGUGCCCUUGGUCAAGUUCUUCAACUUUGAGUUCUUCAUCCAUGGCCUAAAAUGUGUCGAGUUUCAAUUCAGAGUGGAAUCUGUUCUCCAGGAAAUGUCCUGUUUUGAAGCAGCUGUCACUGUCGCUGCAGUUUUAUGACAGCAAGAUCAUAGAAGAAUUUGAUAUACAUGAGAUCUCCAGUAC